Pseudopipra pipra is the source of this 6082-nucleotide long non-coding RNA. RefSeq lists it as uncharacterized. NCBI's taxonomy places the organism in Eukaryota, Metazoa, Chordata, Aves, Passeriformes, Pipridae. The record is from RefSeq and is a predicted model, not a curated record. The transcript is spliced from 3 exons.
UGGUGCUCCGCGUGUUCUACAGUUACAGCGGCGCGGGCGCUGCCCGGGAGCCCCCGCGCUGAGGGGGCGCGGAUCGGCCCGGGCUGCCCCGGCGCCCCUAACACCGCUCCCGGCGCCCCUAACACCGCUCCCGGCGCCCCUAACACCGCUCCCGGCGCCCCUAACACCGCUCCCGGCGCCCCUAACACCGCUCCCGGCGCCCCUAACACCGCUCCCGGCGCCCCUAACACCGCUCCCGGCGCCCCUAACACCGCUCCCGGCGCCCGCGGGGCUCCGGCGGCUCCCGGGGCCGGCUGGGGUGAGGGGGCGAAAGGAGCGGGGACAAGACCCCUAGGCCACCCCCGCCCCGAGGUGACCGAGCUGGAGCCGCAGGCACUGGGACAGCCCGACGCUCCUCACGGUCCCUCAGCAGAGACCCGCUGAGGGGGAGACGGAUCCGCUGAGGGGGAGUGAGACUCGCUCGGGGGGGUGGGAUCCCCUCAGGAGGGACCCCUCCACCACCGCCCCCGCACGCCGCGCUCCGCUCACCUCCCGGCGCCGCCUCCCUCCAGCCCGGCUCCUCCAGCUGCCGCUCGGCUCCAAGAGUGAUAUGUUACAAAAUCCUGCAUACAUCAGACGUCACAUGGAAUGAUAUUGGAUGCUAUUGUUGUACAGAACUGGAUCCUUUAUCUCUUUUCAAGGAUUGAAAGCACACAGAUGGUUCUCCAGAACAGUACAGUGAGUUUGCAGCUGCAGGAGGCUAGACUGUUACAGUAAGUUUCCAGGUCAGCCAAAGGUCUGUCACAUAAUUUUGACCAAGCCAAGGUGUUGACUAGUUGGUCACUGAAUGACCUCCAUUUUUUCUGGUACCUGUGAUCAAAAGGCUCUUAAAAAUGAAAUGUGUUCUAGGUGGCUUAAUAUGUAACAAACACCAUUAUUGUUCGGACCACUGUGGUGCCAUAAGCAGAUAAACAUGAUGUAAGAGCAUAGCAGGUAUGAUGAGGAAGUGACAAGCUCAGGGAACUGGGAUUGUUUAUCCUGAAGAAAAGGAGUUUCAUGGGGGUCCUUACUGGUCUCUACAACUACCUGAAAAGAGGUUGUAGUGAGAUCUGUCUCUUCUCCCAAGUAGGGAACUGUAGAACAAGAAGAAAUGGCCUCAAAAUGUGACAGGUGAGGUUUAGAUUGGAUAUUAGGAAAAAUUUCUUCACUGAAAGGGUUGUCAAGCAUGGCACAGGCUGUCCAGUAAAGUGGUGGAAUCACCAUCCCUGGAGGUAUUUAAAGGCCAUGUAGAUGUGGUGCUUGGGGACAUGGUUUAGUGGUAGUCUUGGCAGUGCUGGGUUAACAGUUCAACUCAGCGUUAAAGGUCUUUUCCAAACCUUAACGAGUUUAUGUCUAAGAAUUGGCAGGUUUGGCUGUUUGGAGCCAGGUUCCUUAUGUGCUGUACUCUAGUCUCAGAGCUUGGAAACAGUGGUUUACACACUGCAUUUUGGAGCAGAUAAAGUUGCAGUGUGUAUUGGUCUGCGGUCCCGUUUCGUUCCUUGCACCAGGCCCAGUUCCAAGGACGAUGCUAUGCCCACAGGUGGGGGACUAGGAAGAUCUCUUGGUUUGUGUUACUUGCAAAGUGCUGUUAAGUGUGUUGUACUAAAUAUUAAAAAUUGUCAUUUAUGUUUGCUUUAGAAUCUAAGUAUGGAGUGGAAGAAUUUGGUUUAUGAUUUCAUGUAAAGCUCACAUGGCUUGAAAAAUCUAACAUCAGAAUUCUUUGUUGACAUUGUCUUUAUUGAAGCAUGGAUCUUUAGGUUGGUUCACCAUAAAGUGAAGCAUUUUAUUUAUGAUAAUAGACAGGGCUAUAGGGGCAUUAUAACGUUGCUGGUGUAGAUACAACUUUAUCAGAAGAUACAAACAUGACCCGCAAUAGAAACAAACACCAAAGAGAAUACAAUGAAACGUUCACUGUUUACAAAUCACUUCAUUACUACAGACACCAAAUGGCAGUUACUGUAAGUAAAUCAGUUGCAGAGAACUGACUACAUUUAGACAGGGAAUUGGGAAAUUCUGUUUGGGGCUUAAUCCACAACUCCUCAGUAGAAAAAAGUUUAAUGUCAAGCAUUCUUUUUUUAUCCACAAAACAAUGCUAACCAACAGACAUCAAAGAAUAAGACCAAAGGAUAUCAACGCCUUUACAACUACUCUUGCAAUUACCUUCUGGAUUAGGUACUUUGAUGAUUUUUUAAAAUACAUUUUUUAAGAAGGUAAAUAGCCCAAAAAUCAGCAGCAAAAAUAUUACAACAACAAAACAAGUAAAUACAGUGCCAAUGUGUCAUGUUGUAGAAGAGAAUACAAAGAGGACAAACAAUGAUAACUUAAUCAUAUAAAAUGACACAGAGCUGAAAUACAGUGCACAUAAAUACCUAUGUGACAAAGGAUGUUAAAUUCUGUACUUAGUAUGUAGGUUUUUAUAAACAUAAAAUCUGAAAAGUCUUUGUGCUUAAACUUUUUUUCCUGUUAAACAGAAUUAGUUGCUUACUUCCAAUACUGCCACUGUAACUGAUAUUACAACAGAUCACAAUUUUCACAGACACAUCAACAUUAAAACAUUUACCUAUGAGAAAAUAAGUCACUUCUCAUUAGUUCACAGUGCGAAAAAGUGGUGUACACUCUGUCUUGAGAAAGGCUUUCAGUUAUUCAUCAAGCCAGCUGCAGAAAAGUCCUGAUACCAGACGCAGUGCUAGAUUUAAAGAAUGGAAAGCAACACAUCACAUGUUGGGAGGAAAAAAAAUAAAUUUCUCGUUUCUUCAUGGAUAUCGUCUAAGUGACCUUCGUCUUCUGUUGUAGAAAUGCCUGAGCCCAUGUUGCCGUGAAAAAUUCAUCAUGUAAUUUUGUUUGCGAGUGCUGUUGAAAUCAAAGGGUGGAGGAAGAGAAGAGCGUCACACAUUAAAAUACGUACUUUAAAUUCUUUUGGAGCAGUGAGCUAGUGGGACUGAUUCUUCUUUGUCCUUGCAUGACCUUUCAAGCCUGUGCAAACUGGUGUGAAGCACACCCUUUGUAUAAUUGCAAGGUACCAGGCAAUUGAGAAUCUGUCCCACUUUGCUUUCAUUUACAAUUCGUUAUCUUAGGGAAAGGUUAAGAGCUUUCAGCUGAUGCAAACUUGUGCUGCCUAGGGCCAGAUUCACUAAAGCUGUGUGCACACUUCACAGAAUUUAUCUCCAGUGGUUUUGUACUCCAGUAAUCCUUCUGCCUUCAAUGAUUAACUGCUUUAUCUUGAGAACAUAAGAAAAGCUUUAUUCCACUUCAUUAUCUUCUACUUCUACCAUAUAGGAAGUGAAGUACAACACUUUUUUGAAGAUUCAUAUUUCCCUCCCCUAUGCACCCUCUUCCAAAAUUAAAGGAAGAUCUGAGAACUAAGCAUCAUCAUGUCUGGGAGGAGACCAGGCAAGAGAGACAGCCUGUCUGCAGCCUAAUUCAAGGAAGACCUACCUGGAGGACAAGGCCCAUCCCAGCUAAUGUAGGUUUCUACUUCUCCCACUGAGGGAAGAAGGAACCAUGAGAGGGCAGAUCUGUGAAGUGAAAGCCUGCAGUCAACAAAUCUCCCAUUUGUGGGUGCAAGGCAUGUUUUCACUUGUGAGUUUUGUCUGUGAGUAAGAAGUAAAUAUUCGUAAUGUAAUCAGUCAUUCUUUCCUCCCUAGUGCAUAAAUUUAUUUCUAGUGAAUGUGGCCCUUAGGAAAAAGGAGUAAUUGUAUGUUUUGCAAAAUACAAGGCCAUCCUCCAGGUAGCUUUUGCUGUAGUAUGCUAAUUUAAUCUAAAACAAUCUAACAAAAUUACAACUUUUCAGCAGCUAAUCUUGAACACAAUUGAUUUAACUGAAUAACAGUUGUCAUAUCAAAAUCUAGAUUAUAAACCCCUAAGCAAAUCCAAGUCACUUCCUGACUAGUCUUCCAAGGCUUUGCAAUUUUUAAUUUUUGUAUUAUUUUUUGCCACUGGAACGUACAUACAAAAAUGAAAUUGUCACAGCUCCUGGUGACAAUGAAGGCAAACAGAUGUACACUUGGCACAACUUUUGGCACUCUCACAGUAAGGCAGAGCUCUAGAGCAUUUGGCAGUUGAGAGAGGGGUUAAUGUUUGAAGUUGACUUGUCCUGACUUUCACCUAACUUCAGGUAAAAAGGAAAGGUUUGUGCUGAUUUCUAAGACUUUUUUUGAGAAGGUGUCAGUGGUGAGUUUAUAUAAUUUUAAUGCCGCUUGGUAGCUCCAGUGCAAAGCAGCAUUGAAGAUCAGUCUUCAUUCUGUUCCUUUAGUGAUCUCAGUGGAACACCACCCUCACUCCAAGGCCAAGCAACUCACUGAGGAAGACAGGACUGAAAUCAUGACCCCAAACCUGCUCCUGAAAGUGGCUGCCAUUGGUCAUGAGGCUUGAAGAAGGUCUUAAUUUUGCCUUCUCUUUAAUUCCCACUGCCUGGGAAGUGGGUGGUUCCUUAGAAACAGGGCCUUCAAGGCCACAUCCAACCUCUCAGGAAAAGAUCCUAACCAUGGGGUGAGGAUGGAGCACCUCUCUGCAGCCAAAAUGCAGGAGAUAGGCCUGGGAGAAAGCACAGCACAACUCUGAGCAGCUUCGAUCUCGGUACAUGGGACCAAACAGAGCCUGUCAAAGUGUUUGGCUGAAAAAAUUGCAAUUUCUGGACCUGGUUAAUUUAGGAGUGAGCUUGGCUGUGAGAGCCUCAGCUUGGGCAAGACUUGGACAGCUGGGGCAUGUGCUGAGCUGCAGUUCUUGGCCCAGGAGCCUUCACAUAUCCCCAUCUCUAUCCUGCCUUUGGUCUGCUCAUGUUCAGCAACAGCUCAGCAGAGAUUUUCAGGACUGGUUUUGGACAAUGCUAGGUGCAUCUGGCCUCCACUUCAAAUGACUAACCCUUUCGAAUCUGGCCUUAAACUUAUGGUGAGGAUGUUUAAAACAAUGAACAGAGGAAAAAAAAAAAGGAAAGAAAAAGAGAGAAUUGAGAAAAGGAACAAAUGGUUAUCUAAUAACUUAAAAGAUAUUUAUUUUUUUAUGUAUAUAAUUUUGUUCUGCUAUAAGAUGAUCAAGACAUUAGAAAGAAGCAUAUAGUUAUGUCUUACACUGACUACCAGAGCAAUGCAGUGUGUGAAAAAUAAGAGAAAUCUAAAUUCUCAGGAGCUAAAUGCUUAAAUUUUUUUUUACUUGCAGUGACAUAGUUCAUACUUGUCCUCACUGAUGUCUGAGGCAGACUUUCCAGCUACUAGUUGGAUGCCACAGAAAAAUUUCAUGCCUGCUAUAGAAAUAGCAUGAUUUUCACUCUUGCCAUGGGUAAAUAUGUAUACCCUCUGCAUUAAAGUAUAGUAUCCUAUUGCACCACAAAAUCAGAGUAGGUCUAUGUUUUUUAUUUUUCUGAAUUAAUUUUAUAUAUUGGUAGGAGACAAGCACUAUGUAAGAGAGAUCAAGUGCCUUAUAAAAUCACAAGAAGAGCUAUACAAUGUAGUCUGUAGAAGUACUUAUGCAUUUCUUGCCUUUGGUGAAUGUAAAAAUGCUUUCAAUACUAUUAGUACUAAAUUUAAUUUGUAUUAUCACAGACUGAUAAAAAGUUUUACCAUACUUUUGCUGUUGUUUUCCUGUUUGGAGCACCCAAAAUGUGCUGGGCAGCAUCAAGUUACAUUAGGAAUAUAUCCCCCCUUCCAUAAUGGAGGUUCUGGAGGGAACUUUUGUUCAGAUAUCAGCGGCAACUUGAAGGCUGCUUUGAGAGUGUGUAAUAGACUGGUCAGCAUCUGCUGAGCCUUCUGCCUUUUCUGUGCAUUCACUGAACCAUUAGUCAAUCAGAAAAGUUCAGAUCCAAAGCUAUCUGUAUAUUGCUGAUGAAACACACAGCAAAAAGAAAUUAAUAGGAGCAACUACUGUAUAAUCUGUUUGACAGUUUUGAGUGCACUAUUAAAAUAUACAUGGAAGAUAAUUUUUGUGGGAAACCCUAAAUAUCUUUCCAGUGAAGUCACUGGAGUUGUGCUAGUUGUAUGAAAGCAAUAUGCAGCCAAUACAGAAGAACAAAACCAGAACUGUCUAGGGCAUAUUCAAUACAUACCAACAGUAAAGCAAUUUAUGAGAAGGA